ACCUAUGGGUAUACUAGUCUGAAGAUGCCCAAUCUCCUCUGAUCUUGGAAGUUAAACUGGAUCAGGUUAGUACUUGCAUGGGAGACUGCCUGGUAAUAUCAGGUGAUGUAGACC
Molecule: ribosomal RNA, 114 nt
Filed under: Dasypus novemcinctus (nine-banded armadillo)
Lineage: Eukaryota; Metazoa; Chordata; Mammalia; Cingulata; Dasypodidae
Source: RNAcentral